Molecule: non-coding RNA, 2649 nt
Organism: Camellia sinensis
Lineage: Eukaryota; Viridiplantae; Streptophyta; Magnoliopsida; Ericales; Theaceae
Source: RefSeq, a predicted model, not a curated record
UCUUACUUUACUUUUAUAUUUGUUCUCAAUUUUUUAGAUUUGUUGGUGUUAGAAUAGAGAAUGGUGGACAUGAGGGUUGUAGCAAAGAUAUGGGGGAGUUGACCAAAGAUAAAACACCACGUCUUGGCAUGGAAUUUCAUUCAGAGGAAGUCGCACAUCAAUUCCUAUAAUGAAUAUGGAAGGAUUAUGGGGUUUGGCAUUAGAGGAGAUUACCAUAGCAAAAGUAAAAAAGAUGGUGCUAUGAUUAACAGGAAGUUUGUUUGUUGUAAGCAGGGAGAAAAAGAAAAAGAUAAACGGUACAUGAUUGUAAAUCAUCCUAAACAUGAGACAAGAACAAAGUGCAAUGCAUUUAUGUAUGUAUCUUUGGAUCAAGACUUGUCGAAGUGGAUAGUGAAAAAGUUUGAUGACAACCACAACCAUACUUUGCAUCUUCCUCAGUGCACACAUUUGAUACCAUCUCAAAGAAAGUUAUGUCAGGCUCAGGCUUUCAAUGUUGAUAUAGCUGAUGACACUGGUAUCUCUCUUAAAGCAUCACAUGAUCUCAUUAGUGCCUUAGCAGGGGAAAAAGAAAAUUUGAGAUUCACAAGAGAAGACCAAAAAAGCUAGUUGUGUGGAAAAAGACAACGAAAUUUGCAAUAUGGAGAAGCUGGGAGUUUAUUAAGAUAUUUUUAGCAACAAGUAGCUGAAAAUCCAUAUUUUUACUAUGCAAUUCAAUUGGAUGUGGAUGAGAUGAUUACUAAUGUUUUUUGGGCUGACCAUGAGAUGAUUACAAAUUAUGAACUUUUUGGUGAUGUCGUAUCAUUCGACACAACAUUUCGCACAAACAAGGAGUAUCAACCACUAGCUUUAUUUACUGGCUUUAACCACUUUAGAAAGAUAUGAUUUUUGGUGCCUCAUUAUUAUAUGAUGAAACUAUAGAUUCAUUUGAGUGGUUAUUUGAAACCUUCUUGCAUGCAAUGUCGGGGAAAAAGCCUACCAGUUUUUUCACAGACCAAGAUCAGGCAAUUACUAAGGCAAUAUUUGAAGUCAUGCUUAAGGUUUUCCAUGGAUUAUGCACUUUUCACCUAAUGCAAAAUGCUUUGUAACAUUUAGGGUACUUGUAUAAGAGUGGUUCAAAAUUUGGUAGUGAUUUCAAAGCUUGUAUUUUUAGAUGCGAGGAUGAACAUGAGUUAAUUGAAGCUUGGGAUUCUUUGCUUGAUAAAUACAACUUGUAUGAGAAUGCGUUGAUGAAGAAGACUUGAGAAAAAAGAGAGCAAUGGGCGCACGUAUACAUGAAAUACUUGUUCACUGCAGGAAUACGAAGCACCCAACUUAGUGAAAGCCUGAACGCAACAUUAAAGAGGUAUUUGCAAGCUAAUCAUAAUAUUGUUCAAUUUUUUACCUACUUCAAUCAGAUUGUUGUAGAUAAGCGGUACGAAGAAGCAAAAGCUAUAUAUAAUUCUAGACAACAAUUGCCGAGAAUGAAAUUGAACAGGUCUCCAAUUUUGAACCAAGUUGCAAAUUUGUACACCUCUCCUUUCUUUGACUUAUUCAUAAUGAGUUUGACUUGUCUCUUUCUUGUAGAGUGAAGCAAUGCCAUGAGUUAGAAGGAGAAGUUUGGUAUGUGAUUAGCUUGUAUGGUGAUGAUACAGAGUAUAUUGUGAAGGGUAAUAUGGAAGUUAAUGAGUUAGGAGGAGAAAAAAUUUGUUAAAAAAUUCAUUGCACUUGUCAAAAGUUUGAAAACAUUGGAAUUUUAUGUGGUCAUCCAAUUAAAGCACUUGAUAGAAUGAAUGUUAUGGAAAUUUCUAAGAAAUACAUAUUAGGUUGAUGGAGAUUAGAUGCCAAGAGUGGUGAAAUUAAGGAGGAAAAGUUGAAGUGGGUGAGAAUGAUCCCAAGUUAGAGACAUCAGCACGUUACAGGGAUCUUUGUCCUAGGAUGGUAAAGCUAGCAACUCAAGCAUUUGUGUAUUAGCCUGCUUAUCAAUUGGUUGAUGAAGGGAUUAAGGAACUGUGUAGAAAAGUGAAUAAAAUGUUGAUAUCAUUUGAUGAUUUGGGUGAUUGUGGUAGUGGAAGCAACAUUGAUAUGAGUUCUAAUCCUAGCUUUGCACGAGUUAAAGGCUUAAAAAAAAAAAAAGGUGGACAAAAGGGUGGGGGUAGAUUAAAACCUUGGCACGAGAAGACUAAUAAGAGGACAAAAAUUAUUUCAUAACCUACCGGCCUUAGUAAGAAAAUUGGCCAAUCAAGCAACACAUUAAUUGUUCAAAGUUCCUCUUUAUGCCGCUCACAGGAUGUUGGGAUACCUUAUUGGUCACAAUUGAUGAAUUAUGGUCACAAUCUUUUCAAGCUUGACGAUACUAACAUUGCGUGCUCAUCAAGUUACCCACAAUCUACCCUUUUAUCUUCACAACUAUUAGUUAAUCCACAAACUUCUCAAGUAUGCAAUUUAAUCUUGUAAUAUAGUUUGUUUUUAAUAAAAAAAUAAAUUGAUUCCAAUAUAUUCUCUAACACUUAUUCAUUUUUAUUUUUUUACGGGAUGUCAUUUGAUGAAGGAGAGCUCAAUCCCACGGGGGGCGAGUCAUUCUUAGAUAAUGAAACUUUUUUUAAAAUUUUGUAGUCAUUCACAACCUCCCCCACAGAAUUGAAAUGUAGUAUUUUUAUUAUAAUGGUUUUU